This 483-nucleotide ribosomal RNA is filed under the name uncultured bacterium. Its description in RNAcentral is "partial 16S ribosomal RNA". It matches the Rfam family "Bacterial small subunit ribosomal RNA", at positions 28 to 507 of the family's 1533-position model. The record is from RNAcentral.
GACGAACGCUGGCGGCGUGCUUAACACAUGCAAGUCGAACGCUGAAGCUCAGCUUUUGUUGGGUGGAUGAGUGGCGAACGGGUGAGUAACACGUGAGUAACCUGCCCCCUUCUUUGGGAUAACGCCCGGAAACGGGUGCUAAUACUGGAUAUUCACUGGUCUUCGCCUGGGGGUUGGUGGAAAGGGUUUUUCUGGUGGGGGAUGGGGUCGCGGCCUAUCAGCUUGUUGGUGGGGUGAUGGCCUACCAAGGCUUUGACGGGUAGCCGGCCUGAGAGGGUGAACGGGCACAUUGGGACUGAGAUGCCGCCCAGAGUCCGCCGGGAGGCAGCAGUGGGGAAUAUGGGACAAUGGGCGCAAGACUGAUGCAGCGACGCCGCUGGAGGGAUGGAGGCCGUCGGGUUGUGAAACUCUUUCGGUAAUGGUCAAGCCGCAACAAUGGUUGUGGUGAGGGUAGUGGGUAAAGAAGCGCCGGCUAACUACGUG